Molecule: ribosomal RNA, 253 nt
Filed under: uncultured bacterium
Lineage: Bacteria
Description: partial 16S ribosomal RNA
Rfam family: Bacterial small subunit ribosomal RNA
Source: RNAcentral
UACGGAGGGGGUUAGCGUUGUUCGGAUUUAUUGGGCGUAAAGCGCGCGCAGGCGGAUUGUUAAGUCAGAUGUGAAAUCUCGGGGCUCAACCCCGAAACUGCGUCUGAAACUGAUGAUCUAGAGUAAUGGAGGGGAGAGCGGAAUUUCGCAUGUAGGGGUAAAAUCCGUAGAGAUGCGAAGGAACACCAGAGCCGAAGGGGGCUCUCUGGCCAUUUACUGACGCUGAGGCGCGAAAGCGUGGGGAGCAAACAGG